CGGGCGGCCUAAGCGUGCACCGGGGAAUUCCACCCACUGAGCUGCGAGCGUGCGGAGGGCGUGUCGCGUUCUUUGGGGGCGCCCGACGUUUGUCCUCCAUGAGGAUGCUCCAAUGCUACCUGGCUCGCUUGCACAGGUGAGGUGGAUGACAGCAAGGCGGCGGAACACAGGCCCAGGGGACCUGGCAGGGCGGUGUGUUCGGCGCGGGCCGCGACCCUCAGGCCCGGCUCGGGCGCCUCCAGCCCUCCGGGGCGACCGAAGGUCAGGGACGGAAGGGGUGCGGCGGGGGGUCCUGCCGCGUCCCCGCACCCUCCCGCCAGCCGUCGAAGCGGCAGGUGUCCCCUCGUCCUACCUCGGCUGGCACCGCGGCCCCCGCUUUCAGGUGAAGGAAGGCGGCUCCUCUUCGACUGCGCGGCGGGUCUCCUCCUUCCCCGUACCGGGACGCCCGAAAGCAGCCGCUCUCUGCCUCAGGUCUGCCACCAGCCCGGUUCCCGCGAACCGGAGGGAGGGGAGCCGCUCCAGGAAGUGACGUCACACCACGUCGCCGCCCCCGAAGGCUCGCGCUACAGUUGUUGGUCCCUAUCUCUGCAGCAGCCAGAACAAAUCUAAUUUCCUCGAGGGGAAUCGAUGGUUUUGUUCCACAGACUUUACUAUUAAAAGUGACUUCCUGAGAAAUGGAGCUACGAUAUCGAGUUUGCCAAGUAGGCGACACAAAGACUUCAAUUCCCAGGAGGCACUGAAUUUAUUGGAAUGACUUACAUGCUGAAGUCUAACAAUGGCUAGUUACUAAUGGAAAGUCCAAGAAUCUAGUAGCUGCUCAGUCCCGUGAGGUUGGGUGUCUCAGCUGGUCUGCGGGAAUCCUGAAGAAAGAAUGGAUGUGCUGAUGGAGGUGGCACUCUCGUAAUCUUGCUAUUUAGGAUCUGUACUGUACUUGCUCUCCUUUGUCACUUUCAUGACAUUGUGAGUCUAGAGAAAGAACCACAGGUGAUCUCUUUCUGGAGCUCUGGGAGGUCAACAAAGCAGCAGCGUGGCGACAUGACACAUGACACUAUCCCCAUGAAUCUGUGACCUCUCCAGCUUCUUACAUUCAGAGUGACAAUCAUUUGAAACUCGUAAUGGCUCUGAGAUGACUGCUGCCAUUGGUUAUUUUUCAUGCUGUGUGGAAAUCCUCCUACUGGGAACAUAUCAAAGUGAUACAAAACUUCCCUCAAAAUUACAUUCAUAGCUUUGGACCUGAGAACAUGAAUGCUGUCCACAGGAAAAGCCUUUGUUCUCCUGAGAAGAAUCUUAUCCAUUUUCUUGGGCUCAGACGGCCAGUUCAUACUUCCUUCUUCUCUGAAUGCAGCUACACUCUGUUGUUUUUAGGUGUCUUUGACUUUCCAAUGGUUAACUUCUGCUGCAUUUUCAAAUAGUACCUGACACUUGGGAGAUUAUUGUGCACUUUAUAUAUAAGGACUGUCUCUGCACUGGGCCUUUAGGAGUUAGCAGGAAUUGUUAAAGGAGGGAGGGUGGUCUUUUUACAUAUAGUGAAAGGCUUGAGAGAGGACACAGCACCAAGUGUGAGGUGUUGAGGGUUAGGGGUUAGGGAACUGAUGGAACUGAAAGGUGUUUGUAGGCUGUCACUAGACAUAGAGAUGAGCUUCUGAUUGUCCUUCAGACUACCUCAAAUGUGACCUUAUCAGUAAUGGCUUCCUGUUCACCCUAGAUGGAAUUCAGAAAGCCACCCUCUAUUGUUCUUGGUUCAUGAAUGUAGGCUGACAUCAUAUUAUAUCAUAGGUGCUUACUGGUUGAGCCUCAGAACUGGACUAUGUAUUAGAUAUCUAUCUGCCCACAAAGCUUUAACACCAAAUAAGGCAUACUCCCCAUAAUUUCAAUUUUUAAAAAUACCUGGUUCUUUUUCCACGUUUACAUUUUCACCAGAUAUUUUAGAUAUUUGUACUUCUAGUUCUAAUUUUUUUCUU
RNAcentral lists this long non-coding RNA (1961 nucleotides) under Cricetulus griseus (Chinese hamster). RNAcentral's name for it is "lncRNA (ENSCGRG00015017911.2)". The record is from RNAcentral. Lineage: Eukaryota; Metazoa; Chordata; Mammalia; Rodentia; Cricetidae.